Molecule: long non-coding RNA, 366 nt
Filed under: Ornithorhynchus anatinus (platypus)
Lineage: Eukaryota; Metazoa; Chordata; Mammalia; Monotremata; Ornithorhynchidae
Description: lncRNA (ENSOANG00000048307.1)
Source: RNAcentral
AGGAGAGUGAAGGGCAGGAGCUUCUGUGCCCCACACUCUCACCCUGGCUCUCUGAACUGCGAAAGGAUCUUGGGGAGUCUGUAGAAGAUUGAAAACAUGAGGGUUUCCAGGAAUAAAGGUUCCUGGAAAGAACGCCUCAGGAAUCUCCAGGAGUUGUUGGACGAAAGAGAAAAAUGGAGCAAGGCCGUGACGAUGCAAGAGAGCAGAGGGGAGGCAGAGCAGGACUGUUGAACUGCCAGUUAGAAGAGCUGCCGUGGCUUUCUGGAAAGCUUCGAGAGCUGUGGAGCUGCCCAUUUGGAUUGGAAUCGGGCCUAAAAGAUUCUGCUCUGGGGACAGACUGGCUCUGCUGCAAUACAAUGUUCUUCA